AAUAGAUACCCCGGUAGUCCACGCCGUAAACGAUGUCGACUUGGAGGUUGUGCCCUUGAGGCGUGGCUUCCGGAGCUAACGCGUUAAGUCGACCGCCUGGGGAGUACGGCCGCAAGGUUAAAACUCAAAUGAAUUGACGGGGGGCCCGCACAAGCGGUGGAGCAUGUGGUUUAAUUCGAUGCAACGCGAAGAACCUUACCUACUCUUGACAUCCAGAGAACUUGCCAGAGAUGGCUUGGUGCCUUCGGGAACUCUGAGACAGGUGCUGCAUGGCUGUCGUCAGCUCGUGUUGUGAAAUGUUGGGUUAAGUCCCGCAACGAGCGCAACCCUUAUCCUUUGUUGCCAGCGGUUAGGCCGGGAACUCAAAGGAGACUGCCAGUGAUAAACUGGAGGAAGGUGGGGAUGACGUCAAGUCAUCAUGGCCCUUACGAGUAGGGCUACACACGUGCUACAAUGGCGCAUACAAAGAGAAGCGACCUCGCGAGAGCAAGCGGACCUCAUAAAGUGCGUCGUAGUCCGGA
Molecule: ribosomal RNA, 521 nt
Filed under: uncultured bacterium
Lineage: Bacteria
Description: bacterial SSU rRNA
Rfam family: Bacterial small subunit ribosomal RNA
Source: RNAcentral